This 472-nucleotide ribosomal RNA is filed under the name uncultured bacterium. RNAcentral describes it as "partial 16S ribosomal RNA". It matches the Rfam family "Bacterial small subunit ribosomal RNA", at positions 355 to 825 of the family's 1533-position model. The record is from RNAcentral.
UGGGGAAUAUUGGACAAUGGGCGCAAGCCUGAUCCAGCCAUGCCGCGUGAGUGACGAAGGUCUUCGGAUUGUAAAGCACUUUAAGUUGGGAGGAAGGGCCAUUACCUAAUACGUGAUGGUUUUGACGUUACCGACAGAAUAAGCACCGGCUAACUCUGUGCCAGCAGCCGCGGUAAUACAGAGGGUGCAAGCGUUAAUCGGAUUUACUGGGCGUAAAGGGCGCGUAGGCGGCAAUUCAAGUCAUCUGUGAAAUCUCCGGGCUUAACUCGGAACGGUCAGAUGAUACUGCUUUGCUAGAGUGCAGAAGGGGCAAUCGGAAUUCUUGGUGUAGCGGUGAAAUGCGUAGAUAUCAAGAGGAACACCUGAGGUGAAGACGGGUUGCUGGGCUGACACUGACGCUGAGGCGCGAAAGCCAGGGGAGCAAACGGGAUUAGAUACCCGGGUAGUCCCUGAGCGGGCUGGCAAGGCGCAU